CAUUGCAUAGGAGAUACACCUGUUCCCAUGUCGAACACAGAAGUUAAGUCCUAUAACGCCGGAAGUAGUUGGGGGUUGCCCCCUGUGAGAUAAGGUAGAUGCC
This 103-nucleotide ribosomal RNA is filed under the name Lactococcus garvieae. The record is from RNAcentral. Lineage: Bacteria; Bacillati; Bacillota; Bacilli; Lactobacillales; Streptococcaceae.